Molecule: ribosomal RNA, 425 nt
Filed under: uncultured bacterium
Lineage: Bacteria
Description: bacterial SSU rRNA
Rfam family: Bacterial small subunit ribosomal RNA
Source: RNAcentral
GUGGGGAAUAUUGGACAAUGGGCGAAAGCCUGAUCCAGCAAUGCCGCGUGAGUGAUGAAGGCCUUAGGGUUGUAAAGCUCUUUUACCAGGGAUGAUAAUGACAGUACCUGGAGAAUAAGCUCCGGCUAACUCCGUGCCAGCAGCCGCGGUAAUACGGAGGGAGCUAGCGUUGUUCGGAAUCACUGGGCGUAAAGCGUGCGUAGGCGGUGACUCAAGUCAGAGGUGAAAGCCUGGAGCUCAACUCCAGAACUGCCUUUGAAACUAGGUCGCUAGAAUGUCGGAGAGGUGAGUGGAAUUCCGAGUGUAGAGGUGAAAUUCGUAGAUAUUCGGAAGAACACCAGUGGCGAAGGCGGCUCACUGGACGACUAUUGACGCUGAGGCACGAAAGCGUGGGGAGCAAACAGGAUUAGAAACCCUAGUAGUCC